Molecule: long non-coding RNA, 658 nt
Organism: Polistes dominula (European paper wasp)
Lineage: Eukaryota; Metazoa; Arthropoda; Insecta; Hymenoptera; Vespidae
Source: RefSeq, a predicted model, not a curated record
GUCGCGAGUUGCGAGGACUGUGAGCGAGAUCGUGGCUCCUACCGCGUCCUGUGGACUCGCCCGUAGGUGUGAAAAUGAUGUUCAUCUCAUGCGAGACCCCCCUCCCACCCCUUUCGGAGAUUGGAAUGGACUCGUCCAGCCGGCGGUUCCCCCACCUUACGGAUUCACAGCUCUUGCCAUAUAUGGGCAUAAAACGAAAGCGGCUCGCUGAUUGGUCGCUCAACCGGCUGCCGGCUAGAUUCUCCAAAUGCCGCUUCAAACUAUACGAUACGGGGAGUAUAAUGCCUUCUGGAUGCGUACACACUAGUACGUAAGGGUUCCCCGCCUGACUGACUAACCGUUCUAAGAAUGUGUACGAAAGGAGAGUACUCUCCCAAUGGUAGGUACAGGGUGAGUCAUGAGAAAUAGUCAGAAGUUUUCGUGAGACUGCGCUUUCCUUUGACUUCAAAAUGUUGUUCACACGAUUAGCAAUGCUCCAUGACAGAGAACACCUCGAACUUAUUCAUUUCAUAAUGUAUAAGUCAAAUAUCCAUGUAUGUAUAUAGAUAUUAGUAUCUUUCUCUUUAAUGUGAGAGUGUUCUUGACGUAUUUUAAUCGCAUUUUACCAUUUAAAUAUAUUAUAGGCUUGAGUGCAAGGGAGAACAAAAAAAAAAAAAAA